This 252-nucleotide ribosomal RNA is filed under the name uncultured Bacteroidales bacterium. RNAcentral describes it as "partial 16S ribosomal RNA". It matches the Rfam family "Bacterial small subunit ribosomal RNA", at positions 524 to 776 of the family's 1533-position model. The record is from RNAcentral. Lineage: Bacteria; Pseudomonadati; Bacteroidota; Bacteroidia; Bacteroidales.
UACGGAGGAUGCGAGCGUUAUCCGGAUUUAUUGGGUUUAAAGGGUGCGUAGGCGGACGCUUAAGUCAGCGGUAAAAUUGCGGGGCUCAACCUCGUCGAGCCGUUGAAACUGGGUGCCUUGAGUGGGCGAGAAGUACGCGGAAUGCGUGGUGUAGCGGUGAAAUGCAUAGAUAUCACGCAGAACUCCGAUUGCGAAGGCAGCUUACCAGUCUGCGACUGACGCUCAGGCACGAAAGUGUGGGUAUCGAACAGG